RNAcentral lists this ribosomal RNA (381 nucleotides) under uncultured marine Chaetocerotaceae. RNAcentral's name for it is "SSU rRNA". It matches the Rfam family "Eukaryotic small subunit ribosomal RNA", at positions 587 to 972 of the family's 1831-position model. The record is from RNAcentral. Lineage: Eukaryota; Bacillariophyta; Thalassiosirophyceae; Chaetocerotales; Chaetocerotaceae.
AGCUCCAAUAGCGUAUAUUAAAGUUGCUGCAGUUAAAAAGCUCGUAGUUGCAUUUCCGAGGCAAGGGAUUAGUCCGACCUUUGGUGGGUAUUUAAUCCUCUUGCCUCGUCCUUGAGUGGUGCUUCUUGGUAUUAAGUUAUCGAGGAGAUAGCCGCUCAUCGUUUACUGUGAGAAAAUUAGAGUGUUCAAAGCAGGCUUAUGCCGUUGAAUAUAUUAGCAUGGAAUAAUAAGAUAGGACCUCGGUACUAUUUUGUUGGUUUGAGAACCAAGGUAAUGAUGAAUAGGGACAGUUGGGGGUAUUCGUAUUCAGUUGUCAGAGGUGAAAUUCUUAGAUUAAGGGAAGACGAACUACUGCGAAAGCAUUUAGCAAGGAUGUUUUCA